Long non-coding RNA from Pseudophryne corroboree (corroboree frog), 1913 nucleotides. RefSeq lists it as uncharacterized. The record is from RefSeq and is a predicted model, not a curated record. The transcript is spliced from 4 exons. Lineage: Eukaryota; Metazoa; Chordata; Amphibia; Anura; Myobatrachidae.
GCCUUCUUGUCUUAUAUAUGUGGCUGCACCCUGCCACGGUCACAGAGAUUCCAGGAGCAGCAGGAACAGGACUGCCCAUCAUGUGGAACCCAAACCAAGGAAUGGGCAGUGGACAGCCCCCAUGUCAACCACCACCUUAUGUUCAGCAGCCGCCACCAUCUCAGUACCCACCACCAUAUAUGCCCUCAUAUAAUCAGGUGGCAGGUAUGCCACCAGGCCCAGGCUAUGCUGUCCCACCAGGGAGCUAUCCCCCCGGUACCAACCCCUACCCUCCAGGAUAUGUUCAACAAUGCAGCUGUGCAAACCGUGAGUGCUGUCAAUGUUCUAAACAUCAUGGUCACCGUGGACGUGGACGUGGGCGCAGAGGACACCGAGGACAUCAUCAUGACUGCUGUUGACACUAGUACAUUGUUGGAUAUGUAAAUAGACUGUACCCCAGGAUGACUGAAUUGCAUUCCUAAAUCUGAGGGGACUCCGGAUUGACCGAGGAUUACGGGCUUGCACGUAGAGAUUUGCAUACCCAUUUGGAUGAGACAUGGGAAAACCAGUUCAUACAGAUGGACUAUAACAAUGACUAAGUGUUCACUAUUUGAAGGAAGACAAUUAGACAUGACACUGCCCUCUCCUGGCUGUCCUCCUACCUCUCCGAAAGUUCCUUCUCUGUCUCUUCUCAUGACCCCCCUCCCCCCCUACUUCCAUUAACAGUUGGCGUCCCCCCAAGGUUCUGUUCUAGGACCUCUCCUUUUCUCCCUCUAUACGUCUUCUUUUAGGUGAGCUCAUCAGCUCUUUUGACCUCCAAUAUCACUGAUGACACUCAGAUCUACCUUUCCUCCCCUGACCUCUCCCCCUCUUUUCUCAUUUGUAUCUCCAACUGUCUCUCUGCUAUCUCUUCCUUGAUGUCCCAACGCUUUUUUUAACUAAACAUGUCUAAGGCUGAGCUGCAGUAAUUAUCUUCACACCUCCCCGCAUAACCUCACUUCCCACAAUUUAAUUAUUUAUUGACAGCACAACCAUUUCCUCUAGCCCCCAAGUGUGCUGUCUUGGAGUUAUCCUUGACCCCUCCCUCUGUUCCAAACAACACAUUCAGUACCUGUCGCAAUCCUGUCAUUUCUACCUCAAAAAUAUCUCCAGAUUCAGACCCUUUCUCACCAUAGAUGCUACUAAGACCCUCAUCCACUCACUGAUAAUCUCCAGACUGGACUAUUGUAUCCUCCUCCUAACCAGCUUUCCUGACAUUCACCUCUCUCCACUCCAAUCUAUUCUCCAUAGUGCUGCCCGACUCAUCUUCAAAUGUUCUACAUCUGCCUCCCUUCUCCUACAAGCCCUACAUUGGCUUUUCUUUCUUUUCAGAACCCAAUUCAAGCUUUUCACACUCACAUACAAAGCCCUCACCCAUUCCUGUCCAAUUAAUAUCUCUGACCUCAUCUCUCUUCACACUCCCGCCCACCCUCAUUGCUCCUCAAUUGAAUGGCACCUCUCCUGCCAACAGAUUACUUCCUCCCAUUCCCGUCUCCCAAGAUUUUUACCAUGGUGCUCCCUAUCUCUGAAAUUCUUUACCUCUCCCUAUCAGACCGUCCACCCCGCUACAAAACUUCAGCUGGGCGCUCAGUCUAACCCUCUGUCUACCCCACUUGUGUCACCCCUGUCUGUCUACCCCUGCCCUUUAGAAUGUAAGCACUCACGAGCAGUGCCCUUUUCCCUCAUGUGCUUUGCUUCCCUACUAAUACUAUCAUAUACUCCAUGCCACCUAACCAUUAGCUUCUGCUACCAUGCUGCUUAUUUGAGUGCUAUGACCUCUGAUGCAGCAAUGUUUAUAUACCAUGUACUUGUUUUCUUGUGUGCUUAUAUGUUUAUGUACUCUAUUAGGUGCUGUAGAACCCUUGUGGCACCAUAUAAAUAAAUGAUAAUAAUAG